GAGAGAGACAUGCGCGCAUAUCAAUAAGCGGAGGAAAAGAAACUAACAAGGAUUCCCUUAGUAACGGCGAGUGAAGCGGGAAGAGCUCAAAUUUGAAAUCUUCAAGGUUUUACCUUGACGAAUUGUAGUUUAAAGAAGUGUUUUCUGCUGAAGUUUUGGUAAAAGUUCUUUGGAAUAGGACAUCAUAGAGGGUGAGAAUCCCGUAUUUGACCAUUAUUUUCAGCUUUGUGAUACACUUUCAAAGAGUCGGAUUGUUUGGGAAUGCAGUCCAAAAUGGGUGGUAAAUUUCAUCUAAAGCUAAAUAUUGGCGAGAGACCGAUAGCGAACAAGUACCGUGAGGGAAAGAUGAAAGGAACUUUGAAAAGAGAGUUAAACAGUACGUGAAAUUGUCAAAAGGGAAGCGCUUUGACACCAGUGUUGUUUUCUCGAAAAUCAAUUAAAAAGGCCGGAUUUUGUUGCUUGUAUGACCUUAUCAGCUUCCUGCACUAUUUUUCUUGUCUUUUUUAAUGCACUUUUCGUUUAACAAGUCAACAUCAAUUUCUUUUGUUGUAAAAGGGUCAUUGGAAGGUGGCUUUCUUUUCGGAGAAAGUGUUUAUAGCCUUUGGCCUCUGCAAUCGGAGAGACUGAGGUCUGCAGCGUAGACUCUUCGGGGUUAGAUACAUUUGUGCUAAGUUAUAACUUUUUAUAGACAACUUGUUGACUAUAAUUAGUCUUGUAGCUUACUCGCUUAUGCUAUUUUACCUACGCUUAGGAUGUUGAAGAUGUAGCACAUCAU
RNAcentral lists this ribosomal RNA (775 nucleotides) under uncultured Neocallimastigales. Its description in RNAcentral is "partial large subunit ribosomal RNA". It matches the Rfam family "Eukaryotic large subunit ribosomal RNA", at positions 23 to 642 of the family's 3401-position model. Lineage: Eukaryota; Fungi; Neocallimastigomycota; Neocallimastigomycetes; Neocallimastigales. The record is from RNAcentral.